AGUUAAGAUUUGUAUAUUAGGAGUUUUAAUUUAAUAGUAGAAAUAACUUUAUUAAUUAAGAAUAAGUAUUUUGUAAAGAAAAUUUUAUUUAUAAUAAACUGUAUAGGUUAAAUGAAAAAAUAAAAAGUAGUUUAUUUAAAAGUAGGAUUUUACUGUACCUUUUGUAUCAGGGUUUAUUAAUAGGUAAUAUUUAAUAAUAUAAUCCCGAGUAAAAGAGAGUUAAAUAUUUAUAAAGUAUAGAGUAGCAUAUUUAUCUUAAAUAUAUAUUUAGUAAUGAUAUGUUAAUCGUUCUUUUAUAUAUCUGGUUUUUUAAGAUAUGAAUUCAAUUCAGAGUUUUAUAUAAAUAUAAUUAAUAUGUAUAAAUUUAAUGUAAAAUUUAAAUAAAUAAGGGAUAAGCUUUAUUUAUAUAUAAGUAUUGAAAAGUAAUAUUAGUUGUGUAGGCUUAAAAUUUGCCAUCUUAAAAUUGUAAUAAAUUGUCUAUGUAGUUAAUGAUUUUAAGACAAUCUUUUAAUUUAUUAAAAAAUAUAAAAUAAUAGUAUUUUUAUAAAUAUAAUGGUAAAAUUAAUAUUAAAUAAGGAAAUUUAAAUAAGGAAUUCGGCAAAAUUAUAUUCGUCUGUUUAUCAAAAACAUAGCUUUAUUGAUUUUAUAUAAGGUAUAACCUGCCCACUGAUAAAUUGAAGGGCCGCGGUAUUUUGACCGUGCAAAGGUAGCAUAAUCAUUAGUCUCUUAAUUAGAGGCUGGCAUGAAGGGUUGCACGUAAUAUAAGCUGUCUCAUUUAAAUAAUAAAAAUUUAAUUUUUAAGUGAAAAAGCUUAAAUUUAGUUAGAGGACGAGAAGACCCUAUAGAGUUUUAUAAAUAAAAUAUAUAAAAUAAAAGUAAAGGAUAGUUUGUAUAUAAUUAUUUAUUUUGUUGGGGUGACAUGAAAAUAAAUUAACUUUUCUUUAAGUUAAACAUAAAUUAAUGAAUUUAAGAUCCAUUAUAAUGAUUAUAAGAUUAAAUUACCUUAGGGAUAACAGCGUGAUCUUUUUUGAGAGUUCUAAUCGACAAAAGGGGUUGCGACCUCGAUGUUGGACUAAGAAUAAUUUUAGGUGUAGAAGCUUAAAUAUUAAGUCUGUUCGACUUUUAAAUUCUUACAUGAUCUGAGUUCAAACCGGUGUGAGCCAGGUUGGUUUCUAUCCUUAAUUAUAUAAAAUAUUUUAGUACGAAAGGACCAAAUAUUAAAAGUAAACUUUUAAGUAAUGAAUAUUAUU
This is a ribosomal RNA of 1250 nucleotides. The stretch from base 569 to 1250 matches the Rfam family "Archaeal large subunit ribosomal RNA", at positions 1423 to 2806 of the family's 2987-position model.